GGUAUGAAGUAGAAAUUAUCCGUUUCUCACCUUACAGCGAGAGCUCGUUUGGUUAUUUGAUUGUGUAUAUUACAUAUUUAAGGCGGGUAAUUUGAAUUAUCCGCUUUUUUAUUGUUGC
Eubacterium brachy ATCC 33089 is the source of this 118-nucleotide regulatory RNA element. It matches the Rfam family "Ribosomal protein L20 leader". Rfam says of the family: This family is a putative r-protein leader autoregulatory structure found in B. subtilis and other low-GC Gram-positive bacteria. It is located in the 5' untranslated regions of mRNAs encoding initiation factor 3 followed by ribosomal proteins L35 and L20 (infC-rpmI-rplT). NCBI's taxonomy places the organism in Bacteria, Bacillati, Bacillota, Clostridia, Peptostreptococcales, Anaerovoracaceae. The record is from Rfam.